GAAACCCGGUGAUCUAGCCAUGGGCAGGUUGAAGGUUGGGUAACACUAACUGGAGGACCGAACCGACUAAUGUUGAAAAAUUAGCGGAUGACUUGUGGCUGGGGGUGAAAGGCCAAUCAAACCGGGAGAUAGCUGGUUCUCCCCGAAAGCUAUUUAGGUAGCGCCUCGUGAAUUCAUCUCCGGGGGUAGAGCACUGUUUCGGCAAGGGGGUCAUCCCGACUUACCAACCCGAUGCAAACUGCGAAUACCGGAGAAUGUUAUCACGGGAGACACACGGCGGGUGCUAACGUCCGUCGUGAAGAGGGAAACAACCCAGACCGCCAGCUAAGGUCCCAAAGUCAUGGUUAAGUGGGAAACGAUGUGGGAAGGCCCAGACAGCCAGGAUGUUGGCUUAGAAGCAGCCAUCAUUUAAAGAAAGCGUAAUAGCUCACUGGUCGAGUCGGCCUGCGCGGAAGAUGUAACGGGGCUAAACCAUGCACCGAAGCUGCGGCAGCGACACUAUGUGUUGUUGGGUAGGGGAGCGUUCUGUAAGCCUGUGAAGGUGGCCUGUGAGGGUUGCUGGAGGUAUCAGAAGUGCGAAUGCUGACAUAAGUAACGAUAAAGCGGGUGAAAAGCCCGCUCGCCGGAAGACCAAGGGUUCCUGUCCAACGUUAAUCGGGGCAGGGUGAGUCGACCCCUAAGGCGAGGCCGAAAGGCGUAGUCGAUGGGAAACAGGUUAAUAUUCCUGUACUUGGUGUUACUGCGAAGGGGGGACGGAGAAGGCUAUGUUGGCCGGGCGACGGUUGUCCCGGUU
RNAcentral lists this ribosomal RNA (793 nucleotides) under Escherichia coli. RNAcentral's name for it is "partial 23S ribosomal RNA". It matches the Rfam family "Bacterial large subunit ribosomal RNA", at positions 717 to 1512 of the family's 2925-position model. The record is from RNAcentral. Lineage: Bacteria; Pseudomonadati; Pseudomonadota; Gammaproteobacteria; Enterobacterales; Enterobacteriaceae.